CGGGCUUCGAGCCCGUUUCAGACAACACUUCCUUCUAGGGAUUUGAGAAACAAGAGCGAUAUAGGAAUUAAUCGAGCGACUGUAGGGCUUGUCCAUCACUCCGAUCCCUCGCUCCACAUUGGCGCACAAAUCCUGCAUCAUUCGAGCCCGUUUCUGCUCCAACUUUUCGUUUUUGUUCUUCAGGCGAAGUACGAUUACAUUGGUUAUCAAUGGAGCUUAUCAAUGUAAUAGAACAAAGGUUGAUGGCCAUGAGCUCAGGAGUAUGUUUCUUCUAAGUAUGAUCAACCAGCAGACACGUUUUAAAAACUUUGAGGGAAAAUCCAAAAGAGAAAACCAGCGGUGUUUUUGGCCACGAAGCUUAUUUUUUGCCAUGGUAUGAGAGACGCACAUAAGAAAAGUUGGAAGUAUGAAAGUGGUAGACAACGGAACCAGAUCACGAAGGAUAUGAGGUGAUUUUAUUGGUAUAUGGUGAGUUUUAUUUUCCUUUGAAGUAAAAUGUAUAUAUAUUUAUGGCCUUCCUUCAUAAGAGGCUGUUGCUGCAUAUCAUGAGCCUUUUAACAUUAUUUAAAAGUAUGCCAUUGAGGAAGCAAUGCAGGGGUAGACUCUGGAUAGUUCGUGGACGCUCUGUUAUUGAAUCCUUCACUUCAUGUUCUUCGUAGUGGCAGUGAAGACGCAAGAGAAGAGCAUUGCAUCACGUAGGAUCUGCCCACUUUGCAUUUGAUUCAGGUAUAACUGAAAAUCUAAUUGUUACAGAAAUACAAUACUACACGUGAGGUGGGGGUGGGGUUAUUGUAACGGCACAAGCCCCAUCGCUACAAAUAUUGUCAUAUUUGGCUUU
This is a long non-coding RNA of Cucurbita moschata (crookneck pumpkin), 838 nucleotides long. RefSeq lists it as uncharacterized. The transcript has 4 exons. NCBI's taxonomy places the organism in Eukaryota, Viridiplantae, Streptophyta, Magnoliopsida, Cucurbitales, Cucurbitaceae. The record is from RefSeq and is a predicted model, not a curated record.